CCUGUUUAGCAAAAACAUGUUUGUUUGGAGUUAUAAAGAAUUUAACCUGCCCCCUGAUUAACUACUAAUUAAAGGGCCGCAGUAUUAUAACUGUGCAAAGGUAGCAUAAUCAUUAGGUUUUUAAUUGAAAUCUCGUAUGAAUGGUUGGACAAAAGAAAGACUCUCUUUAUAUUAAGUUUUGAAUUUAACUUUUAAGUGAAAAGGCUUAAAUAUUCUAAAGGGACGAUAAGACCCUAUAAAACUUUACAUUGUCAUUAAUUUUGAUUGAAUUUAUGAAAUAAAAAUUUUAUUUGAUUAUUUGUUAUGUUGGGGAGACAUAAGUAAAAUAUUUUUUUAACUGCUUGAUAGUUAUACAAUUAUUAGUGAAUAAGUAGAAGAUCCUUUUUAAGAUUAGUAGAUUAAGUUACUUUAGGGAUAACAGUGUAAUUUCUUUUGAGAGUUCUUAUCGAAAAAGAAGGUUGCAACCUCGAUGUUGAAUUAAAAUAUCUAUAUAAUGGAGAGGUUAUAUAAGAAGGUCUGUUCGACCUUGAAAAUUUUACAUGAUUUGAGUUCAAACCGGUGUAAGCCAGGU
This 571-nucleotide ribosomal RNA is filed under the name Longpotamon kenliense. RNAcentral's name for it is "partial large subunit ribosomal RNA". It matches the Rfam family "Bacterial large subunit ribosomal RNA", at positions 1799 to 2631 of the family's 2925-position model. Lineage: Eukaryota; Metazoa; Arthropoda; Malacostraca; Decapoda; Potamidae. The record is from RNAcentral.